RNAcentral lists this ribosomal RNA (381 nucleotides) under Triticum aestivum (bread wheat). Its description in RNAcentral is "partial small subunit ribosomal RNA". Lineage: Eukaryota; Viridiplantae; Streptophyta; Magnoliopsida; Poales; Poaceae. The record is from RNAcentral.
AUGCAACUUCGGUGCGCAUCUGCAACAGAGAUGCUGAGUGAAUCACCGCCUGCGCUGCAUCGCCGGCUCCUUGGCCCAAGCCGGCGCUCACGUAUAGGCGGCCGUGCCCCCUCGUUCCCCAUGUGGUCACCGCCGCUCGCAGCAUUUCAGCCGCGUGCUUGCAAAACACCAUCGGUGGUUUGCAGGGGCGCUGCAGAACGUCGGUGUUGCAUGAGCAGGACUGCAACAACGCGAGGCGGUGACGGCGCCGGUCUAAGGCGACAGGCGCCGUCGCCUGCUGGUGUGUGUUGUGGUGUUCUAGUGGAAGAAGAAACAGAGGAAAAGAAUGAGUGGCUCACGACUUGUGGAGAAGAGAUAAGGCCAAGGGAGAGGAAGGAAUAA